GCCUAAGGUAUGCUAGUCGAACGAUUCCUGUAUCUUCGGAUACAGGGAGUGGCAAACGGCUGAGUAACGCGUAGGAACCUACCCCAAACUCGAGUAUAGCCCCGCGAAAGCGGGGGUAAUCCUCGAUAGCCCGUGAAGUAUUUUACUUCACGGUAAAGCUUUUGCGGUUUGGGAUGGGCCUGCGUCCUAUCAGGUAGUUGGUGAGGUAAAUGCUCACCAAGCCUAUGACGGGUAGCUGGUCUGAGAGGAUGGUCAGCCAGACUGGGACUGCGACACGGCCCAGACUCCUACGGGAGGCAGCAACUAGGAAUUGUGCGCAAUGGACGAAAGUCUGACGCCGCGACAUCGCGUGGAGGAUGAAGGUCUUCGGAUUGUAAACUCCUUUUCUUACCGAACAAGUUCUGAGUGUAGGUAAGGAAUAAGUGCCUGCUAACCACGUGCCAGAAGCAUCGGUAAUACGUGGGGCACGAGCGUUAUCCGGAUUUACUGGGCGUAAAGAGAAGCGUAGGCGGCUCAAUAAGUUUGGUGUUAAAUCUUCCGGCUCAACCGGAAACAAGCACCGAAAACUAUCGAGAUUGAGUCGAGUAGGGAAGAGGGGAAUUCCUGGUGGAGCGGUUAAAUGCGUAGAUAUCAGGAGGAAUACCAAGGGCGAAGGCACCUCUUUGGACUCGUACUGACGCUGAGGCUCGAAAGCGUGGGUAGCAAAACGGAUUAGAUACCCGUGUAGUCCACGCCGUAAACGAUCCCUGUUAGAUGUA
This 758-nucleotide ribosomal RNA is filed under the name uncultured organism. RNAcentral's name for it is "bacterial SSU rRNA". It matches the Rfam family "Bacterial small subunit ribosomal RNA", at positions 46 to 824 of the family's 1533-position model. The record is from RNAcentral.